This 249-nucleotide unclassified non-coding RNA is filed under the name plant metagenome. RNAcentral describes it as "partial contains small subunit ribosomal RNA and internal transcribed spacer 1". The stretch from base 1 to 46 matches the Rfam family "Eukaryotic small subunit ribosomal RNA", at positions 1786 to 1831 of the family's 1831-position model. The record is from RNAcentral.
AAGUCGUAACAAGGUCUCCGUUGGUGAACCAGCGGAGGGAUCAUUAGAGAGUAUAAUAACUCCCAAACCCAUGUGAACAUACCUCUCGUUGCCUCGGCGGAGAGGGGGACUACCCCGAAGUGACUACCCGGAGGCGCCUACCCGUUAGGCGCCACCCGGCACUCCGGGGUGCUCCCUCCCGCCGCCGCUGGCCCACGAAACUCUGUUUUUUAUAUUGUAACUCUGAAUCUUAAAACAAAUAAGUUAAAA